Molecule: long non-coding RNA, 215 nt
Filed under: Elaeis guineensis (African oil palm)
Lineage: Eukaryota; Viridiplantae; Streptophyta; Magnoliopsida; Arecales; Arecaceae
Description: long non-coding RNA (EGUI_LNC023894)
Source: RNAcentral
GCAACCGCCUACAAAACAAGUCUUCCUUGCCACUCCAAUCCAGGAGGUACAAACUAGCAACCAGGUUAUCUUGGAUGGCCAACUAGCUUCUUAUGAUCUGCAAGGCUUGUUAGAGCUUGUCAUCAUCUGCAAGGCUUCUUACUAGUGCUUGUCAUGAUGAAAUCCAUUGAUGUACCAACUUAACUCUUAUCAAUCAUGUUUCAAACAAGCACCAU